This 253-nucleotide ribosomal RNA is filed under the name uncultured bacterium. RNAcentral describes it as "partial 16S ribosomal RNA". It matches the Rfam family "Bacterial small subunit ribosomal RNA", at positions 524 to 776 of the family's 1533-position model. The record is from RNAcentral.
UACGAAGGGGGCGAGCGUUGUUCGGAAUUACUGGGCGUAAAGGGCGCGUAGGCGGCGACCCAAGUCAGAUGUGAAAGCCCCGGGCUCAACCUGGGAACUGCAUUUGAAACUGGCGGGCUUGAGUAUGGCAGAGGGGGGUGGAAUUCCGCGUGUAGCAGUGAAAUGCGUAGAUAUGUGGAGGAACACCGAUGGCGAAGGCAGCCCCCUGGGAUGUGACUGACGCUCAUGUACGAAAGCGUGGGGAGCAAACAGG